GGGGGGGGGGGGGGGGGGGGCGGGGGCGGGGGGGGCGGGCGGGCAGGCGGGGGGCUUGCGGCUCGGCCGUUGGCGGCGGCCGGGUGCGUGACGCGUGGAUACCCUACCUAUACGACUGGGCUGACUUCGGGAGACCGGAGCUAAUACCGGAUAAUAUAUUGACCCUCAUGGUGCCCUAGUUCACGCCGGUUUUGCUGUCCCUUCUCGAUGGAUCCGCGCCGCAUUAGCUAGUUGGUAAGGUAACGGCGUACCAAGGCAACGCUGCGUAGCCGACCUGAGAGGGUGAUCGGCCACACUGGAACUGAGACACGGUCCAGACUCCUACGGGAGGCAGCAGUAGGGAAUCUUCCGCAAUGGGCGAAAGCCUGACGGAGCAACGCCGCGUGAGUGAUGAAGGUCUUCGGAUCGUAAAACUCUGUUAUUAGGGAAGAACAAAUGUGUAAGUAACUAUGCACGUCUUGACGGUACCUAAUCAGAAAGCCACGGCUAACUACGUG
RNAcentral lists this ribosomal RNA (497 nucleotides) under uncultured bacterium. RNAcentral describes it as "partial 16S ribosomal RNA". It matches the Rfam family "Bacterial small subunit ribosomal RNA", at positions 28 to 507 of the family's 1533-position model. The record is from RNAcentral.